Molecule: ribosomal RNA, 97 nt
Filed under: uncultured eukaryote
Lineage: Eukaryota
Description: partial small subunit ribosomal RNA
Rfam family: Eukaryotic small subunit ribosomal RNA
Source: RNAcentral
UCGCUCCUACCGAUUGAGUGGUUCGGUGAACUUUUUGGACUGAACACCUUUAAGGUGUACGGGAAGUUAAUUAAACCAUAUCACUUAGAGGAAGGAA